Molecule: ribosomal RNA, 404 nt
Filed under: uncultured Eubacteriales bacterium
Lineage: Bacteria; Bacillati; Bacillota; Clostridia; Eubacteriales
Description: uncultured Clostridiales bacterium partial 16S ribosomal RNA
Rfam family: Bacterial small subunit ribosomal RNA
Source: RNAcentral
UGGGGAAUAUUGCACAAUGGGCGAAAGCCUGAUGCAGCAACGCCGCGUGAAGGAAGAAGGUUUUCGGAUCGUAAACUUCUAUCGACGGGGACGAAUAAAUGACGGUACCCGAGUAAGAAGCCCCGGCUAACUACGUGCCAGCAGCCGCGGUAAUACGUAGGGGGCAAGCGUUAUCCGGAAUCACUGGGUGUAAAGGGUGAGUAGGCGGUCAGACAAGUCAUAUGUGAAACCCCAAGGCUUAACCUAGGGCGUGCAUAAGAAACUGUCGGACUAGAGUACAGGAGAGGUAAGUGGAAUUCUUAGUGUAGCGGUGAAAUGCGUAGAUAUUAAGAAGAACACCAGUGGCGAAGGCGGCUUACUGGACUGAAACUGACGCUGAGUCACGAAAGCGUGGGGAGCAAACA